GGACCUAAGGCGAGGCCGACAGGCGUAGUCGAUGGACAACGGGUUGAUAUUCCCGUACUGACGAAGAACCGCCCAAACUAAUCCAGUAGUGCUAAGAGUCCUAAUCCGGCUGACGGAUCCCUUCGGGGUGAAGCUGCCGGCCUAACGCUCGACCCCAUGCUGGUGCGGUUAGCGUAUUAACAGGUGUGACGCAGGAAGGUAGUCGGUCCAGAGCGAUGGUUGUCUCUGGCCAAGGCUGUAGGCCGGGGGAUAGGCAAAUCCGUCCCCCACACGGCUGAGAGCUGAAGGGGAGUCCGUCAAGGACAAGAUCCGAUAAUCCUAAGCUGCCGAGAAAAGCAUCGACGCGAGGUUCUAGUCACCCGUACCCUAAACCGACUCAGGUGGUCAGGUAGAGAAUACCAAGGAGAUCGAGAGAAUCGUGGUUAAGGAACUCGGCAAAAUGCCCCCGUAACUUCGGGAGAAGGGGGGCCUAAGGCGUCAAGGGAUUUACUCCCGGAAGCGCUGCAGGGCCGCAGAGACCAGUGGGAAGCGACUGUUUACUAAAAACACAGGUCCGUGCGAAGUCGCAAGACGAUGUAUACGGACUGACGCCUGCCCGGUGCUGGAAGGUUAAGAGGAACGGUUAGCCGUAAGGCGAAGCUGUGAAUUUAAGCCCCAGUAAACGGCGGUGGUAACUAUAACCAUCCUAAGGUAGCGAAAUUCCUUGUCGGGUAAGUUCCGACCUGCACGAAUGGCGUAACGACUUCCCAACUGUCUCAACCGCGAACUCGGCGAAAUUGCAUUACGAGUAAAGAUGCUCGUUACGCGCAGCAGGACGGAAAGACCCCGUGACCUUUACUAUAGUUUGGUAUUGGUGUUCGGUGUGGCUUGUGUAGGAUAGGUGGGAGACUGUGAAGUGGGCACGCCAGUGUUCAUGGAGUCGUUGUUGAAAUACCACUCUGAUCGUAUUGGACUUCUAACCUCGGACCCUGAUGGGGUUCAGGGACAGUGCCUGGUGGGUAGUUUAACUGGGGCGGUUGCCUCCUAAAAAGUAACGGAGGCGCCCAAAGGUUCCCUCAGCCUGGUUGGCAAUCAGGUGUUGAGUGUAAGUGCACAAGGGAGCUUGACUGUGAGAC
Molecule: ribosomal RNA, 1115 nt
Filed under: Deltaproteobacteria bacterium
Lineage: Bacteria; Pseudomonadati; Myxococcota; Myxococcia
Description: partial 23S ribosomal RNA
Rfam family: Bacterial large subunit ribosomal RNA
Source: RNAcentral